This 1116-nucleotide ribosomal RNA is filed under the name Triticum aestivum (bread wheat). RNAcentral's name for it is "partial small subunit ribosomal RNA". Lineage: Eukaryota; Viridiplantae; Streptophyta; Magnoliopsida; Poales; Poaceae. The record is from RNAcentral.
AUGUCUUUAGCAAAUUCUUAUGCCAAUUCCCUAGUUCCAACCGGGAGACACAACCAGAAAGUACAACCAAAUUCGCAUUCCCAGUUCAAGCCAAGUGCAUGUUUUUAUAGCAACUUCCACAUAUGUACAAAUAGGUUACAAUCACAAAUCCCCCCAUCAAAUAUGUAUGUACACACGCCUUCAUGCUCAAUGGUUCCCAUUUCCAGAGUAGCCACACCUAGAAAGAAUCAACACCCAGCAGGCCCCCAAGCCAAGAGAAAGGUAAAUAAGAAGCUAGCCGGUGAGCUUAUGCACCGGCUAAUUUCCCUCGACACACUUUUCCCUUGGCCUUUCGUCCAGAGUGCGCACGCCACUAAUGCGGAGCUACAGCGACGUCAGCGGCACAGCGGCACCGCCUUGAGGAGCGCGUCGAGGCCGCCGGGCCGCGCGCCGCAGCGGCCGCUCCGCUCGCCGCGCGGCAGCUCGGCGACGAGCACCCGCCGGCAGGACGGGCAGGAGGAGUGCGAGCGCAGCCAGGCGUCGACGCAGGCCGCGUGGAACGCGUGGCUGCACUGCGGCAGCACCCGCAUGUGCUGGCCGUCCUCGAACUCGGCGAGGCAGAUGGCGCACUCGUCCGCCUCCGACGCCUCGCCGCCGUCGGCGGCGUACCUGACGGUGGGCAGCGCGCGCAGCACCUCCUUCUUGACGCCCCUGUUGGCGCCGGGCGGGGCGGCGUCCGCGGCGCGGGCCCAGCGGCGGGAGCACGCGCACCGCGCCACGAGGCCGAGGCCGAGUACGCAGACCAGCGCGCAGAGCAGGCCGGCGAGGAUGAGGACCAGGUCCGAGUUGAGCGAGUCCUGCGGCACGCCGGCCGCCGCCGCCUCCUCGAGGAGCCUUCUCGCCGCCAUGUCCGGGCAGCGGGAGAGAGCUGAGCUCACGAGCUUCGCCGCUGGGUUGCGCGGAGGAGCAGCUGGCUGGCUAGUCGAUGGUCGUCGUCGUAGCUCGGGGGAGGAAGCGUGGAGGAAGUGUGUGAUGGGAGGCGCUGGGUCGCUGGCUUAUAUAGAGAUGGCGCGGGGAGGCGAUCGUCGGCUUUUGGUCUUGAGGAAAAUGCGAAGAAUGAGCACGGGCGGGUCGUAG